UGCGGGCGGGGCGGGGAUGCUGAGGGGCUGCUAGGAGGCGGCGGGGCUGCGCACGGCUGGAUGCCCCGGGCCUGCAGCUCCCUUCGCUUCCCGCCGUCCAGGGGCGCCAGCUAUGGGCGCCGCAGCCGCUGAGGCGCCGCUCCGGCUGCCGGCCGCGCCCCCGCUCGCCUUCUGCUGUUACACGUCGGUGCUUCUGCUCUUCGCCUUCUCCCUGCCCGGCAGCCGUGCGUCCAACCAGCCCCCGGGUGGCGGCGGCGGCGGCGGCGGCGGGGACUGUCCCGGUGGCAAAGGCAAGAGCAUCAACUGCUCAGAAUUAAAUGUAAGGGAAUCUGAUGUAAGAGUUUGUGAUGAAUCAUCAUGUAAAUAUGGAGGAGUUUGUAAAGAAGAUGGAGAUGGUUUGAAAUGUGCAUGUCAAUUUCAGUGUCAUACAAAUUACAUUCCCGUCUGUGGAUCAAAUGGGGACACUUAUCAAAAUGAGUGCUUUCUUAGAAGGGCUGCUUGUAAGCACCAGAAAGAGAUAACAGUAGUAGCACGAGGACCAUGCUACUCUGAUAAUGGCUCUGGAUCUGGAGAAGGAGAAGAGGAAGGUUCAGGGGCAGAAGCUCACAGAAAACACUCCAAGUGUGGACCUUGCAAAUAUAAAGCUGAAUGUGAUGAAGAUGCAGAAAAUGUUGGGUGUGUAUGUAAUAUAGACUGCAGCGGAUACAGCUUUAAUCCCGUGUGUGCUUCUGACGGGAGCUCCUAUAACAACCCCUGUUUUGUUCGAGAGGCAUCUUGUUUAAAGCAAGAACAAAUUGAUAUAAGGCACCUUGGCCAUUGCACAGACACAGAUGAUACUAGUUUGUUGGGAAAGAAAGAUGACGGACUACAAUACCUACCAGAUGUGAAAGAUGCUAGUGAUCAAAGAGAAGAUGUUUAUAUUGGAAACCACAUGCCUUGCCCUGAAAACCUCAAUGGUUUCUGCAUCCAUGGUAAAUGUGAAUUCAUCUAUUCUACUCAGAAGGCUUCUUGUAGAUGUGAAUCUGGUUACACUGGACAGCACUGUGAAAAGACAGACUUUAGUAUUCUCUACGUAGUGCCAAGUAGGCAGAAACUCACUCAUGUUCUUAUUGCAGCCAUUAUUGGAGCUGUGCAGAUUGCCAUUAUAGUAGCAAUUGUCAUGUGCAUAACGAGAAAAUGCCCCAAAAACAAUAGAGGACGUCGACAGAAGCAAAACCUAGGUCAUUUUACUUCAGAUACAUCAUCUAGAAUGGUUUAAGCUGAUGACUUUUAUAUGUACACUGACCACGUGAUGUACAUUUAUUAUGUCUUUUUUUAAAGAAUGAAAAUAUUUAUUUCAGAGGCCUUAUUUUUGGACAUUUUUAGUGUAGUACUGUUGGCUCGUAUUUAGAAUAUUCAACUACAACAGUUUUGGACUGUUCAGUAGUCUUUGUUUUGUUUUUAAAUACAGAAAUUAAUUUGACAAAUUUGUACCACAUGGUAAUUCUAAGAUUUGUUCUUUACCCAUGGAAUGUAAUAUUUUUGCAAAGAUGGACCCACUUCACAAAUGGUUAUAAAGUCAUACUCACUUCUUCCACAAUGACCACAGCAAAUGACCAAGCAUGAACUAAAGAUUUGUGGUGGACAACAGCAACUUUUACAGCAUGAGGCAUACGACUGGCUCUGUUAUCAAGUAGCUUUAUUUCUUGCUUUGCUUUUCUUUCCCCCCCCCUUUUCUUUCUUUCCUUCUUUUUUUUUAAACUGGAGAUUGGACACAAGUCCUUCACAUUGAGCUUCAUAUAUCCUCAGCCUGUUUUGAGAUAGGCUGUCUCUUGCUAAGUUGCCCAGGCUAGCCUUGAAUUCCUUCUGCAUUAGCCUCCCGUGUAGCUGGGAUUGUAAGAGUGUGCCACCAUGCUUGGCUGUCAAGUGGCCUUUCUAAAGUCUUCUCUGUUGCAGUGAGUUUGGAAAUGACCUCCAGAAUUUCUCCUCUCCAGGGUGAAGCAUUCACGGUCCAGCUGUAUAAUACAGUGUGUGUAGGUGUUCAUCAUAGCUCCUUGAGGUAGCCAGAUUUUACUUAGCUUUUGGCUUUUAGAUAGGAAGUAGAUUUAUUCCAAAGAAAGGAAGAUGGUCACACUGGCUGUAUGGUUCUAGUACAUUUAAAUUCUGGGUUCUUUUUUUUUACUAUGAAAGAAAUGAUGGAAUUGUUGAAUUUGAUCAUAAUCAGCUACUCCAGUUUUUAGACUUUCAGAUCAGUUUUGAAUCAUCAUGUAGUAACUAAAAAUAAUAUAUACGUAUGUACACAGGCACACAUAAAAUAUUUUACUUGAUUAUCCAGAUAUUUUAGUUUAGGAGUUUGAUUCAAUGUUACUUUCUAUUCACUCUACCCAAAUACAUAAAAUUGUAAAUGGUCAUCUUAUUAUCUUUCUGUAUUGAAAACUAAAGUGUAUACACUGGAAUAAAAUUUUAAAAUAACAAUUCUAAAAACAUUUUUAACACAGCUUAGAAGAAGCUUGGCUGCCUAAUCACGUAUUUCCUUAAGAGUCAUAAUAAAUUUGAAUUUAAAAAGACA
Molecule: non-coding RNA, 2548 nt
Organism: Heterocephalus glaber (naked mole-rat)
Lineage: Eukaryota; Metazoa; Chordata; Mammalia; Rodentia; Bathyergidae
Source: RefSeq, a predicted model, not a curated record